AGCCAUCUUGCCCUUUAUUCUCGGAUCACACAUGCACGCAAGCAUCAACUCUUGGCAAGACACUUUAUGCGCUCAUUGAACCUACGUGUUAGUUGCUCCUCGAGCCUCCUAACAAGUGCAGCAACAUCCCCAAGUAGUUGGCCACCAGGUACCACUUUCUUUUUAGAAAUUAAGCGACUCAGCUUAUUUGAGAGGUGGGUGAACAAGGGAAUUACUUGACCAAGGCUCGUAUUUUCUUGGCUUAAAAUCUCCGUAACAUCCCUGAAUGGCCUAAGGACUUCCACUAGCUGCCCAAUCAUUAACCAAUCCUCCCUGACUAAG
Pelobates cultripes (western spadefoot toad) is the source of this 321-nucleotide non-coding RNA. Lineage: Eukaryota; Metazoa; Chordata; Amphibia; Anura; Pelobatidae. The record is from the annotation of a GenBank genome assembly.